ACUCCUACGGGAGGCAGCAGUGGGGAAUAUUGCACAAUGGGCGAAAGCCUGAUGCAGCAACGCCGCGUGAGCGAUGAAGGCCUUCGGGUCGUAAAGCUCUGUCCUCAAGGAAGAUAAUGACGGUACUUGAGGAGGAAGCCCCGGCUAACUACGUGCCAGCAGCCGCGGUAAU
This 172-nucleotide ribosomal RNA is filed under the name uncultured Clostridium sp. RNAcentral describes it as "partial 16S ribosomal RNA". It matches the Rfam family "Bacterial small subunit ribosomal RNA", at positions 335 to 524 of the family's 1533-position model. Lineage: Bacteria; Bacillati; Bacillota; Clostridia; Eubacteriales; Clostridiaceae. The record is from RNAcentral. RNAcentral also lists the same sequence under 1 other name.